Molecule: unclassified non-coding RNA, 784 nt
Filed under: Hevea brasiliensis (rubber tree)
Lineage: Eukaryota; Viridiplantae; Streptophyta; Magnoliopsida; Malpighiales; Euphorbiaceae
Source: RNAcentral
GGAGAACCAAGCAAAGCGGAGCAAACAAUCUUCAAGUUCCGGGAGGAGAAGCUUGAAGAGAAAGCUCGAAGGAGAUUUUGAAGACGAUCGUAAAGUUUCUUCUCAUGAUGAUGAUGCUCAUCAAGAUCUCGCUUCUGAGGUUCGAACGCAGGUGGAGAUUCUCGAUUCUACUUUCUCUUCGACGGAAGCAGAUCGUGCCUCUGCCAAGACUGCUAUUCAUGUUCUCUGCGAGUUAGCGAAGAACGAGGAAAUUGUGAAUGUGGUUGUAGACUGUGGUGCUGUCCCAGCUUUGGUGAAGCAUCUUCAAGUGCCAUCCCUUGGGAAUCAAGGAGAUGGUGGGCAGAUGCCGUAUGAGCAUGAGGUCGAGAAAGGAAGUGCUUUUACGCUUGGCCUUCUAGCCAUAAAACCGGAGCACCAGCAACUUAUUGUUGAUGCUGGAGCUCUACCUCAUCUUGUGGAUCUGCUGAAAAGACAUAAAACUCUGCAAAAUUCUCGUGCUGUCAAUGGUGUUAUCCGGAGAGCAGCUGAUGCAAUCACUAAUCUUGCCCAUGAAAAUAGUAGCAUCAAAACUCGUGUUAGGAUUGUGGGUGGUAUUCCUCCACUUGUUGAAUUGCUUGAGUUCGUUGAUGCAAAGGUGCAAAGAGCAGCUGCAGGAGCGUUGCGAACUUUGGCUUUUAAAAAUGACGAGAACAAAAAUCAGAUUGUUGAAUGCAAUGCACUCCCUACUCUUAUUCUAAUGCUGCGAUCCGAAGAUACUGCAAUACACUAUGAAGCGGUUGGAGUC